Molecule: ribosomal RNA, 484 nt
Filed under: uncultured bacterium
Lineage: Bacteria
Description: bacterial SSU rRNA
Rfam family: Bacterial small subunit ribosomal RNA
Source: RNAcentral
AACGAACGCUGGCGGCGCGCCUAACACAUGCAAGUCGAACGAGAAUCCGGGGCAACCCGGUAGUAAAGUGGCAAACGGGUGAGGAAUACAUGGGUAACCUACCCUUGAGAAGGGAAUAACCCGCCGAAAGGUGAGCUAAUACCCUAUACGCUAUCUUUUUUUCGAAAAGGAUAGGAAAGCCGGGUCGAGGACCUGGUACUCAAGGAGGGGCUCAUGUCCUAUCAGCUUGUUGGUGGGGUAACGGCCUACCAAGGCUACGACGGGUAGCUGGUCUGAGAGGAUGAUCAGCCACACUGGCACUGAGAUACGGGCCAGACUCCUACGGGAGGCAGCAGUGAGGAAUAUUGCGCAAUGGGCGAAAGCCUGACGCAGCGACGCCGCGUGGGGGAUGAAGGUUUUCGGAUUGUAAACCCCUUUCAUGAGGAAGAUAAAGUGGGUAGCCACUUAGACGGUACCUCAAGAAGAAGCCACGGCUAACUUCGUG